Molecule: long non-coding RNA, 4920 nt
Filed under: Homo sapiens (human)
Lineage: Eukaryota; Metazoa; Chordata; Mammalia; Primates; Hominidae
Description: HSALNT0032262
Source: RNAcentral
GAAAAAAAAGCUAAUUAUUGUAAUUAUAACAUUAUUUUAAGACCCCUUUAUAUACAUUUCUCAUUUGAUCCUCUUAACUUUAAUCUCCAUUUGAAAAAUAAUAGAAAUUAUUAUCCCAUCUUACACAUGAUAAAACUAAAGUUGAAAAUUAUAUGAAGUUAUAAUAAAAAUGAAUUAUGAAUGGUAUGCUAAUAUGGCAGUGCCAAAUUUAAAAAACAAGCAUAAAAGCAACUGGAGGUAAUAACUGAUACAGCACAUAAUCUGCAAUCUAAAAUAAAUGCAACUUAAUUUAAGAAGAUAAUGCAUCCUGGUAUAGCCAAAUGAGUAUUUAGAUCCAAAGAAAUCCCUAGAACAGAGUUCAUACUGGGGAUGUACAUCAGAAUCACCUAGGUAGUUUUUUCAAAACAUACAUGUCCUUACCCCACUUGAGAUGUUUAGAAGAUAAAGAAAUCUUCAUAGUUUUUAAAGCCCAGAUACACGUUGCUGAAAAAGCCUUCCAAGAAAUUCUAACACACUCCUGAUUAAGAAUAAUUGUCUUAAAACAUGAAGUGGAAGCAACAAUGCACAUAUUGAGAGAAGUAAUCUAAAAAUUCAGGUACAAAUAUGGACUGGGACGUGAGUAAAUUAGGCAAAGCAAUUCUGGCUACUUGUAACUUGAACUUGUGUUUAUCUCCCACUUAAAAAAGAACCUUAUUCAAAUGCAAGCAAGAAAAAAUGACAAUAUAGAGAUAACCUUCAAAUGCUUUCAUUUAUUUAAAAAGUAAAUAAUUUACAACACAAAUAUUUUAACUCUUGCAACACAUCACACAAAUGAUUGUCACACCAGUGUGUCAACACCACAGUUGAGAAUAGCUGACUAGACUGCAUGUCUCUCAUAAAGGUCCUCGGUGACAGACUUUGCCUGAGACCUAAAGGAGCCAAUGGAGCUAACAAUAUAUAUUUUUCCAAAUAUCACCUCUACUCAAUUUGGAGAAAAAGAAAAUAAGAUCUAUUAUUUUUUUCCUCAAACUAGGUCUCUCAUCAGCCAAAGGCUAUGCCAAUAUAUCAGGCUGACUUUAUUACUCCAAUACAUCAGGCUGACUUUCAACUGGGCCUUAAGAAUCAAAGAAAGGAAAUUUUCAGAUGAGUAUUCAACUGAUUUAUGCACUACAAGGUAAAAACUGUAAAAGAUUCUGGCAAUAGGGAUUCUGUUACCAAGGGGGAAAAAAGGUAAGUCUUGAAAAAACUCUUGCACGUGCCAGGGUAAAAUAAAUAAAUUUUAAAAGCUGUCCUAGAUUAUACAGGUAUUAAAGUUAAAAACAAAUGGCAAGACCAAAUCACCUCUGUUUUAAAAAUAAAAACAGAGGAGGCCCAGAUAAAUAUGAAUUUCAGAAAAACAAUUUUAUCCCAUGCAAUAUUUGGGUCAUGUGCCUACAAACAAAAUCAUUUUCAGAGAACCCAUAUGAGAGAAAGUUGGAACAAAAUGAAAUUCUGAGUCCCUUAAAUUGUAUUUGAGAAAGAUACUAUGCAUAACCUAGAUGUUCCUAAUUAUGAUUCAUUGUCUGGCUCCUCCCUAGUCAUUACAUUAACUCAUUCCCUUUAUCUGUGCCUAUCAUACGUCACCUUAAUUAUUUAACUCCAUUGUUAUUUCUAUUUUUUCAUGUGUUGCAUUUCUGAAACAUUCAUGCUCAUGUGUGGCAUUUUACUUAAAAAAAGAAGUCAUUUACUGUAGCUAUCCAUUCCUAACUUCCAGCUCUGUUAUUAAAGAUUAAGUUGCCUCACACUUACUUCCAUUUCUCCCCUUUAAUCGAGAAAAACAACAAUUCUCUUGAAAUUCACACUACAAAUAGUUGGUAAGAAGUGAGGUUUACAAAAACAAUUCAUUUCUGUACUUCCUUCCUAUUGUGUGACACAGAAGAACCAUACUAAGAAAAAUGUGAAGAAAAAUAAAUUAUCUAAAUUUUAAAACAUUUUACCAAAGACAGCACUAAUUAUUAGUUAACAGAGCUAUAUGCCACACAAAGACAUUUUGCUCUUUUUACUGGAACAAUGAGAAGGUUUAAAUUCAGACAUAAAAUAUCUAAUUUUACUUAUAUUAAAUAGAAUAAAUAUACAAAAGCAACAACUGCCUACUAUGCAUACCUUAGAUGGGUUUGGGAACAUUUUUCUUCACUAUAUCUAUUAUUAAUUAUGUCAAAAGACUGUGAUCAAGGUGUAAUUUUUUUAAAAAGCAACGAAAGGCAGCUUAAUACAAGCUGUGAAAUCCUAAUUAAUCUGCUAACUUAUCUAAACAAAAUUUAGAAUCAUAUUAUAUACAUGAUUUUAAACUACAUUCUAACUUACAUAAUUUUGCUUAUAAGAUUAUGAUUUAUGUUACUUUUACAUUAUAGCUAUCACAUAUUCAACUACAUAUACCUAUUUACAUAUGACAUCUGGUAAGAAAUGAAGAAAUGCUCUUAAAUACUUCGUAAUGAAUAAAAGUUACUUUCUGAGGUUUUAAUACUACCUUACUACAAACAGAAUCUAAACUAGACAAUGAAAAACUAAGCAAUUUCUUUUUUUUUUUUUUUUUGGUCACUCUUCCGGUUAAAUUACUGUUUCAAAACAGAAUAGGAAUUUAGAAUUUUAUUAGUGAAUCUUUUUCUUUCUCUAAGGUCUUUAUAACAGAUUAAGGAAAAGUACACAGAUUCCUGUAAACAUUUUUUUUUUUUUAUUCCAGGCCUGGCAGUUUUCUAACAACUGAAUUACAAUUUAAAUAACUUGUUACAUUUUAAAUAGUCCCAUUUUAAUGCAACUCUUAGAAAAGACCAAAAAAAAAAAAAAAAAAGUUAAUCACCCUUCAACUUCUAAACCUUUAAAACUUUCCAUUUCUUUAAACAUUUCCUCCUUACUUUUAGGGAAUCCUUCCUCCUCACAACAGCACAAAAUACAGUGUCAAUGAACAAAUUUAAAUUGUAUCAAAUUUUAAAAUCCUGUGGGUCUUACAAUACUCUAUAUAGAAAUGGUUGUUUCCUCUCUCAACUGAAAAAAUUAGAAGUAUUAAAUUCAUGCAAUAUAUCAAUAAAGUUUGAUUAAAUCGCCAAGAGCCUGAACUUACUUAUAAUGCUAGGCAUUCUCCAUUACUUCCAAACAAAAUCUUUCUGAUAACCAAUACAUUAACAAAAUAUUUGAAGUCAUCUUAGCACUUCUAAUCUACACAUGCUUUGAAUUCAUAAAUUUACACGAUUAUCUGAAAGUCUGGUGUCACUUAAGUGGGAAAAGGGAAAGUUGAAAUAUUUUAAACUACACUUAGUAUUCUCACAACCACAAACAAACUGAAAUCAAAUGUCAUGUGAAACACCCCAAUUUCCUUUUCUGCCUACAGCAAUAGCUAUGGCAUUGUUCUGCUCAACCUUUUAAAAAGGUUCUUUAAGCUUCCUACUUCCUCAUCUCUACUAGACAUCAGCCUACUUCUGAGGGUCACUGGACCAGGCAGUUUGGGGAUAAGAGUCAAGUUCAUAAACGGGGCCCCCUCUUCAUUCUCUUAGUACAGCAUUUAACAUGCAUUUAGCCCUCCCUGCCUUUGCUCACGCUGCUUCCUCUGUCUGGAAAGUGUCCCCCACUCACCUUGCCAAAAUCCUGGUAAAAGACCAACUCGACCCCAGGCUACUUGAUUUAUCCCCCCGCCCCGGCUCUCCCGUCCCCCUCAACCUUAAGCUCCAGGCAGCCCCAACCACAUCUGUGUAUAUAGGAGACUUUCUUGCUCUGCAAUGUUUCUUACAAACUUAUUCCCCCCCAAAGGGAGAGAUCGAGCAUUUAUUAAGGGAAAAUAUAUAGUCACAUAAGUGAUAAAGUUGUAUUCAUUCCUACUCAUUAUUUUAAAGCUCGGAUAUUCUAAAACUCCUCUUUCCCCUUAUUUCCAGCGAGGAGGAAGGGGGAUUCAACGUCUCUAUUCGUCAGAUUAGGAACCUUGAGCUUUAUCUCACAGUAAAAACUACAUUUUUUUUUUUUUUAAAUAGAGACAGGGUCUCCCUCUGUCGCCCAGGCUGGAGUGCAGGGGCGCGAUCUCGGCUCACUGCAACCUCCACCUCCCAGGUUCAAGCGAUUCUCCUGCCUCAGCUUCCCGAGUAGCUGGGAUUACAGGCGCGCGCCACCACGCCCCGCUGAUUUUUGUAUUUUUAGUAGAGACGGGGUUUCACCAUGUUUGCCAGGCUGGUCUCAAACUCCUGACCUCUGGUUAUCCACCCGCCUCGGCCUCCCAAAGUGCUGGGAAUACAGGCAUGAGCCACCGCGCCCGGCCUACACUUGGUCGAAGCAACAUUAACACUUAAAAUACCACGGAUUUUCUAAUUCGUGUUAAAAUACCACGGAUGAUUUUUAAAGCCGUGACACAUUUUGUACAACUGUCAGUACAAGGGGGAUCACCUCUUUGCAUUUGAUGAAAUUAAACUAAAAAGGGGGAGAGAGCUUGCCCGAGGUCUGAAGGUUCCUCAUUCCUGUUCUAAAACAUAAAACCACCAUCUUCAAUACAUAUACAUUUUUAAUGAGAACUCUUCGUCCUCCUUUGGUUCGCUUAUGACUUCCCUAAUCCUAAAAUCAAGUCGUUGGGAAUUUCUAAGGUUCCUGCUAUGACAACAGGAUCGAAUUACAGAGCGUGGCUUGGAUUCUGCACGCAAACCCUGAAGCAGGUAACUUUUUUAAAAGCUGACAAUUUUACCAUAUGAGAUUUUAAAGACAGAACGCGCCCCAGCAAAAACUGAGCUCCCUAAACUCACUGCGGCAGGACCCCCUUCAGAAGAGCUCCUUUCCCCCGGCCCAGGCCCGCGCCCCAUGAACACUCACCGGAGGCCAUGGCUCCGCUCCCCGCACCUUCCCGCAGGCAGCUCCCAGCGUCCUGGCCGGAGGCGGCCGCAGUCAGUCAGUCAGGAGGCCUCCUCCUUCUUCCCGCCCUCCGCUGGGUUU